Molecule: non-coding RNA, 101 nt
Organism: Acanthosepion pharaonis
Lineage: Eukaryota; Metazoa; Mollusca; Cephalopoda; Sepiida; Sepiidae
Source: the annotation of a GenBank genome assembly
UACUGAAACACAGGUUCCUGUACAAUCACUGAAGUUAAGCAACAUCUAGCCUGGGCAGAUCCUAGAUGGGUGACCACUUGGGAAUAUCUGGUGCUGUAAUC